CCUGCUGUCAGGCUAUGCUAACAACUAACCUGAUGCAUUUUCUACUCCAUCAAUCCAUGGGAGAACUUCGCGUUUGCAUAGUUCCUAGGACAUAUGCAUGCGCAACACAUAGGUUCAAAAGGUGACCAAAGCGAUUGUCGAUUCAUUGCAUCGGAAACUUGAAACACGAGGAUAUUCAAGGGUUUAUUCCUUUCACCCACUCUCUUUUCCUCUCCUUUCUUUUCUUCUCUUUCGGAUGUUCAAUUGCUCAUUUCCACCGGAGGUGCCUUUAUACGCAGUUCUGGCUUUGCAAGGCAAAAGAC
This 302-nucleotide small RNA is filed under the name Histoplasma ohiense. Its description in RNAcentral is "hypothetical lncRNA". Lineage: Eukaryota; Fungi; Ascomycota; Eurotiomycetes; Onygenales; Ajellomycetaceae. The record is from RNAcentral.